RNAcentral lists this transfer RNA (73 nucleotides) under Phycisphaerae bacterium. Its description in RNAcentral is "tRNA-Phe". It matches the Rfam family "tRNA". From Rfam's summary of the family: Transfer RNA (tRNA) molecules are approximately 80 nucleotides in length. Their secondary structure includes four short double-helical elements and three loops (D, anti-codon, and T loops). Lineage: Bacteria; Pseudomonadati; Planctomycetota; Phycisphaerae. The record is from RNAcentral. RNAcentral also lists the same sequence under 4 other names.
GGGCAGGUAGCUCAGCUGGUAGAGCAACGGACUGAAAAUCCGUGUGUCGGCGGUUCAAAUCCGCCCCUGCCCA